Molecule: long non-coding RNA, 2380 nt
Organism: Mauremys mutica (yellowpond turtle)
Lineage: Eukaryota; Metazoa; Chordata; Testudines; Geoemydidae
Exons: 4
Source: RefSeq, a predicted model, not a curated record
GCCUUUGCCAGCGUCUCUCGGGCUAACCCAGCCGCCAUGUGUCACCGCCAGGCUGUGUCUGAAGGGAGCACAGGGGAUGCAGAGCCUCUGCUGCCUUAUUAAUUUACAAAAAAUCAGCAAAAAAGAAGAAUAUAAAAGUAGCCAGACUGGAUCAGACCCUCCUGUAUCCAACAGUGGCCUGUACCAGAGUCUUAUAAAGACUGUGCAAGAAACCUGCCCAAAGGAUCUUUGACCCUCAUUGUGGCUGACAUUUGGGCCUCAGCAGACUUGAGAGGUAUCAGGGGAAUGGAAGCCUCGUAAAUGUCAACAUGCUGCCUGCUGCUCCCAAGGGCACAGCUCUGUGGCGCCCACCCCUGUAGGAGGCCUUGUGGAGACACAUCAAGCCCAGCACUGUGCCUGAAGAGCAGGGACAGCUUUUGGACUCGUCAUUAUAGUUGGAUGUCCAAAUACUCAUGCAGCAAAACACCCACUAAUGUGCAACUGGGCAAAAGAGUCUGAUUUAUCUUAUCCAGCCCAGAGUCACCCACAAUGAGCCAUGCAGUCCUGAACUCCAGGCUUGAUUAUUUCCAAUCAUUGUAUCUAGGAAUGAAGCUACAUACCCUGGAAAAGCUUCUUGGUACUAAACACUUAUCUGCUUAGCAACACAAGUCCACACGAAUACACGUCUUCCCUAGAAUUCUGGGUGUCUGCAUUGGCUCGCUGUGGAGUCCAGAAUACAGUUCAAGGUCUCUGGCCAGGUAGUCAAAGUCCUUCAAGGGACUGGUCCUAGCUACCUGAGAAGAGAUCACCUCUUCCUUCAUGACCAUGAUCUUCCACAGCAACUAUGUUCCAUUCAACUCUUUGGAUCACUAGGGGGAGAUUCAUGAAUGGGGGAGACAGAACUGCCCCAGGAGCUGGGUUGGCCUAUAGAACCCACUCCCACAACAGAUGAGAAUGAGACCAGAACUAACCCCUUUCAGAACUAAAUGCGACACUCAUUUCUCCAACGAUUACAUAUACCAUUCCACAGUAGUAAUUAUGAAAUUAGCACCCAAAGAAGUGAAAUUCAAAGAAAAUAGUGCAGAGUAAUUUACACCAGUCACAAAUUAUGAGUCUCCUGUCCCCGUGCCAGUUCAGAUGCAAUGAUGGGUGAGUUGGAGGAGUGGAGUCAAAAUGCUACUGAUUUUCCCUCCCACACACACCCUGUUACCUGCUGGUGAGGUAGGGAGAGGGAGUAAAUGGAUGUGCAGCACUUGCUUGCUUUUCAAUACUUGGACCAAUGCUCAAGGUAGCCCAAGUCCCAGACUAGUCAUUAAUGUGUUACUAUUUCUGAUAAAAUUCUAGAAUUGUCCUUCCUCUUCCAUUUUACUGUUUCGUUCAAUCUUCUGUGCUUGAGAGAAAUCACCUCUCCUCAGUUGUGAAUCUAUUACUGAGGCUGGCCUGGAAGGACUUCUUCACAUGGAGACCGAGGCCUCGAUUAGGGAACCUGCAUUGAUCCCAAUGCACACAGGGCCCAAAGCUCUAACACAAUUGUACUAGGAAACCUUGGCCAUUAUUUAUGGCAAGAGAACACUUAUUGAGAGUGAGCCUUAGUGCAGGGUUCUUUGCAGCAUCUGUAAAAUCAGGAGGGGCAUUUAUCUCCUUACUAUCUGCUCAGUAUCUUGUGGUUAAAGUAUCAGCAGUUGUUUCCCCCUUUAUCAACAAUAAAUCACUGGAUAAAUGGCAGAUAAUGCAGUUUACUGUACAAUAGGCUUCAGGAGCUCCGCCAGCUUUUUUGCUGUCCUAGGCAGUGGAAGGUCCCGCCCCCGAAAUGCCGCCCCCCAACUGGGGCGGCCGAAGAUGCAGUCGCUGCCCCCCAAAUGUUAGUGCCCUAGGCAACCGCCUAGGUCGCCUAAUGGGUUGCGCUGGCCCCGGUAGGCUUACUGUUGGUGUUAUGUGGUUCAAAUAGGUGAUCCGAAGUGAUAGAUUCUCAGCAUAAAUUUGGUAUGCCAGAGAGAUGAACUAAUAGCGGCAGGGACCAUGGUUUUUUUGUUUUGUUUUUUCUGUGUUUGUACAGUGCCAAGUACAGGGAGGUCCUGAUCGAUGAUUGGGGUCCUAGAUGAGACUACAAAGCAAAUAACUGUAAUAAUAACACACACUGAAGUCUUUUCAUGCUUUAGGAUACAGGGCCAGUUACACCUCUUUAGUGACUUCAGUGGGAUUACCUCAGAUUUACAACGGUGUAAAUUAGAUCAGAAUCUGGUUCACAACACUGGAGAAAAUAUAUUCCAUGUGGACAGCAUGCACUCUGAGUAACUGGUGGCAAAGGAGAGCUAAGCUGUUUAAAACAGUGUUGAUAAAUUGGUUUCCUUCUUCCCCUUCCUGCAAACAAUUGCACUUUUAUUCUUUUAACUCUCCUGAC